Linepithema humile (Argentine ant) is the source of this 871-nucleotide non-coding RNA. The record is from RefSeq and is a predicted model, not a curated record. Lineage: Eukaryota; Metazoa; Arthropoda; Insecta; Hymenoptera; Formicidae.
AUUAUAAUCUUGCAUAAUCAAAAUUAAUUUAUCGCCGAAGUUGUAUUUAUAACUCCGAUGCAUUACGCUCUACUUGCUGCGUGAUUAAAUUUUAUUAUAAAGAAAGUUAUAAGUUUUCUUAUAAACCACUGCGAGUAAAAUAUCAUUUAAUGAACAAGUUACACAGUUGCCUGUUUUGCAAUAAAUAGCGUUUAUUAUGGCACAACAGCGCAAGAAAUUCUCAAGAUACUUUACUUCGUAUAAGUAUAGCCCAACAUUCAUUCAGAAAAACCAGCCGUGGCGCCACGAUGUGCCGCAAAUAGCAAAGGCCGUUAUUUAAUGACAUUAAACAAUUUUACGCCUAAAUAUUACUUGAAUAUUUAUUUCAUAUCGCUUUACGAGCUUCGCACACAAACAUCACAACCCGGCCUCUAUAUAUUUAUUAAGUUUCAGGCGCCUUGUCGCCGUGGUAUACGUGAGAUAGCGUGUAAGCAAAUCGCAUCUUGGCAAUAAUAAAUGACAAGCUCGUUAGCGUCCGAACGCCUUGAAGCAUUACGAUGAAUUAAUAUCCGUAAACAGAAUCAGAAAGGAGAAUCACAUCCUGAUACGAAGAUGAUUGAAACAGACUCCCCAGAGCUAACAAUUGACGUACAUAAACAUAAGCAGCAUAAGAGCGAAAUAGCGAAAGUUUGAAGAUCCAGAAUCUCAACGAUAAAAAUUAAGUCAAUUAUAUUGAAGUAUACGGAAUACUAGAAGAUGCGGAAUACUGGAAUAUUAGAAUAUUAGGAAAUGCGGGAUACUUAUUUAUUAUGGUAUCACAUUCCAUUGGGACACAGGAGAACGUCUUCUCCGCGCCUCUUCCUCGUCCAGUGGCGAAUCUUCCUGAUCUUCC